This 618-nucleotide ribosomal RNA is filed under the name Salmonella enterica. RNAcentral describes it as "partial 23S ribosomal RNA". It matches the Rfam family "Bacterial large subunit ribosomal RNA", at positions 2202 to 2819 of the family's 2925-position model. RNAcentral also lists the same sequence under 1 other name. The record is from RNAcentral. Lineage: Bacteria; Pseudomonadati; Pseudomonadota; Gammaproteobacteria; Enterobacterales; Enterobacteriaceae.
ACCCUUUAAUGUUUGAUGUUCUAACGUGGACCCGUGAUCCGGGUUGCGGACAGUGUCUGGUGGGUAGUUUGACUGGGGCGGUCUCCUCCUAAAGAGUAACGGAGGAGCACGAAGGUUGGCUAAUCCUGGUCGGACAUCAGGAGGUUAGUGCAAUGGCAUAAGCCAGCUUGACUGCGAGCGUGACGGCGCGAGCAGGUGCGAAAGCAGGUCAUAGUGAUCCGGUGGUUCUGAAUGGAAGGGCCAUCGCUCAACGGAUAAAAGGUACUCCGGGGAUAACAGGCUGAUACCGCCCAAGAGUUCAUAUCGACGGCGGUGUUUGGCACCUCGAUGUCGGCUCAUCACAUCCUGGGGCUGAAGUAGGUCCCAAGGGUAUGGCUGUUCGCCAUUUAAAGUGGUACGCGAGCUGGGUUUAGAACGUCGUGAGACAGUUCGGUCCCUAUCUGCCGUGGGCGCUGGAGAACUGAGGGGGGCUGCUCCUAGUACGAGAGGACCGGAGUGGACGCAUCACUGGUGUUCGGGUUGUCAUGCCAAUGGCACUGCCCGGUAGCUAAAUGCGGAAGAGAUAAGUGCUGAAAGCAUCUAAGCACGAAACUUGCCCCGAGAUGAGUUCUCCCUGAG